GAUGAACGCUAGCUACAGGCUUAACACAUGCAAGUCGAGGGGAAACGGCAUUAAGUGCUUGCUCUUUUUGGACGUCGACCGGCGCACGGGUGAGUAACGCGUAUCCAAUCUUCCCAUGACUAAGGUUUAACCUGCCGAAACGCAGACUAAUACCUUAUGGUCUUCACUGACGGCAUCAGAUGAGGAGGAAAGAUUUAUCGGUUAUGGAUGGGGAGGCGUCUGAUUAGCUUGUUGGCGGGGUAACGGCCGACCAAGGCAACGAUCAGUAGGGGUUCUGAGAGGGGGGACCCCCGCAUUGGGACUGGGACACGGUCCAAACUCCUACGAGAGGCAGCAAAGAGGAAUAAUGGUGAAUGAGCGAGAGCCUGAAACAGCCAAGGAGCGUGCAGGAUGACGGGCCUAUGAGUUGUAAUCUGCUUGUGUAUGGGGAUAAAGUCAAUCACGUGUGAUUGUUUGCAGGAACCAUACGAAUAAGGACCGGCUAAUUCCGU
This 491-nucleotide ribosomal RNA is filed under the name uncultured bacterium. RNAcentral's name for it is "partial 16S ribosomal RNA". It matches the Rfam family "Bacterial small subunit ribosomal RNA", at positions 28 to 506 of the family's 1533-position model. The record is from RNAcentral.